GAUGGAUAACAGGUUGAUAUUCCUGUACCCGUUGUUUUUGUUUGAGCAAUGGAGGGACGCAGGAGGCUAAGGAAUGCAGACGAUCGGAAAUGUCUGUCCAAGCAGUAAGUCUGAAGAGGAGUCAAAUGCUUCUUUUCUUAAGGACAAGCUGUGAUGGGGAGGGAAAUAAUAGUACCGAAGUUCCUGAUGUCACACUGCCGAGAAAAGCUUCUAGUGAGAAAACAGCGGCCCGUACCGCAAACCGACACAGGUAGUCGAGGAGAGAAUCCUAAGGUGAGCGAGAGAACUCUCGUUAAGGAACUCGGCAAAAUGACCCCGUAACUUCGGGAGAAGGGGUGCUGAUCAUACGAUCAGCCGCAGUGAAUAGGCCCAAGCGACUGUUUAUCAAAAACACAGGUCUCUGCAAAAUCGUAAGAUGAAGUAUAGGGGCUGACGCCUGCCCGGUGCUGGAAGGUUAAGAGGAGUGCUUAGCGCAAGCGAAGGUACGAAUUGAAGCCCC
RNAcentral lists this ribosomal RNA (499 nucleotides) under Salmonella enterica subsp. enterica serovar Enteritidis. RNAcentral's name for it is "partial 23S ribosomal RNA". It matches the Rfam family "Bacterial large subunit ribosomal RNA", at positions 1417 to 1921 of the family's 2925-position model. The record is from RNAcentral. Lineage: Bacteria; Pseudomonadati; Pseudomonadota; Gammaproteobacteria; Enterobacterales; Enterobacteriaceae.